This 253-nucleotide ribosomal RNA is filed under the name uncultured bacterium. Its description in RNAcentral is "partial 16S ribosomal RNA". It matches the Rfam family "Bacterial small subunit ribosomal RNA", at positions 524 to 776 of the family's 1533-position model. The record is from RNAcentral.
UACGAAGGGGGCUAGCGUUGUUCGGAAUUACUGGGCGUAAAGCGCGCGCAGGCGGUUCUUCAAGUCAGGGGUGAAAUCCUGGAGCUCAACUCCAGAACUGCCUUUGAUACUGAGGAUCUUGAGUUCGGGAGAGGUGAGUGGAACUGCGAGUGUAGAGGUGAAAUUCGUAGAUAUUCGCAAGAACACCAGUGGCGAAGGCGGCUCACUGGCCCGAUACUGACGCUGAGGCACGAAAGCGUGGGGAGCAAACAGG